Long non-coding RNA from Triticum aestivum (bread wheat), 946 nucleotides. RefSeq lists it as uncharacterized. The transcript has 2 exons. NCBI's taxonomy places the organism in Eukaryota, Viridiplantae, Streptophyta, Magnoliopsida, Poales, Poaceae. The record is from RefSeq and is a predicted model, not a curated record.
UCAAAUGAACAAAAUCCAGCCAAACCGGGCGUCCGUUUGGGGUCGUGCUGUGGAGUUGGCCUUACCCAUGGCGCUCGCGUUGGAUCCCCAUCAACCAUCCCCGUGCAGCAAAACUAGUCUCUAUGCGCGCUGUUGUUCUGCUCCGGGCCCUCCUUCCGCCGACGGCCUCGGACGCGCUGCUCUAUUCUGAUCCUUCCUCACGAUGGCGUCCUCGGAUGCACUAGAUGCAGCCGUUGCCGUCGGGGCCCCGAUUCCAGUCGGACGCUCUGCUCCGGGCCUUUCACGCCGGAGGCUCCGGACGCGCCUGAUGCGGCCAUCCCGCGCAACUUAGGAAGCCUAUGCUCAGGCGUUGCCCUGCUACGGCCCCUCCUCGCACAGACAACCACGAACAAUCUGGGGCAAAAGAAGUCGGCAGCGGCGGCAAGCAAUCCUAUCAGGCCGCGUCAAAACAAGUUGAAGCCUCCUUCAUCGAUGCUCAUCUCUGUCCAGUAGCACAUGUGCUAGAUGGGAUAAAUUGGAGACCUGGCUGCCACCACCGCACCUACAGGACGCCUGCUUGGGAAUCUUAAAAACUCUAUGGUACAUCUUCCUCAACGUAAGUUCAAGCCUCUACCAUGGCUCAUCCCCUUCUCCUUCAGGCACCAGGUGUGUUGGGCGGACAAAACUGGAGCCUUCGCCGCUGCUACGGCGCCACCAUGCGGCCUCCUGAUCCGUAGAUCCGAAUCACUCUACAGAUACACCUUCAUCUUUAUUAGCUGUUCAACCAUGUUGCAUAAUUUGGGAUUCUUAUUAAUCCCCAAUCCGUUGACUCUUGCCACCUACCCAUUCAAUUUAUUGAUGUACCAGAUUCAUGGUGUUUGGAUUUAAUUGGAAGAAGUGAUAUGUGUCUUUCAAUCUGCAACCAAUUGGAUACGACAAUGAAGAACACUUGAUUUUUUUGUUGCAA